UACGUAGGGAGCGAGCGUUAUCCGAAUUUAUUGGGUGUAAAGCGUGCGUAGGAGGUUUAAUAAGUCUAAGGUUUAAGUCCGAAGCUUAACUUCGGUUCGCCUUAGAAACUGUUUUACUUGAGUGUGGUAGAGGCAAGUGGAAUUUCUAGUGUAGCGGUAAAAUGCUUAGAUAUUAGAAGGAACACCAGUGGCGAAGGCGACUUGCUGGGCCAAUACUGACGCUGAGGCACGAAAGCGUGGGGAGCAAAUA
This 250-nucleotide ribosomal RNA is filed under the name uncultured prokaryote. RNAcentral's name for it is "partial 16S ribosomal RNA". It matches the Rfam family "Bacterial small subunit ribosomal RNA", at positions 524 to 774 of the family's 1533-position model. The record is from RNAcentral.